CAUGCAAGUCGUGCGAGAAAGUACCCUUCGGGGUGCGAGUAGAGCGGCAAACGGGUGAGUAACACGUAAGUAGCCUACCUCUAAAUCUGGAAUAACUCUGCCAACGCGGAGCUAAUACCGGAUGUGGUCACGAUGCUGCAUGGUAUUGUGACUAAAGGUGACCUCUCCUUGGAAGUUACCGUUUAGAGAUGGGCUUGCGGACCAUUAGCUAGUUGGUGAGGUAACGGCUCACCAAGGCUACGAUGGAUAGCCGGCCUAAGAGGGUGAUCGGCCACAUUGGGACUGAGAUACGGCCCAGACUCCUACGGGAGGCAGCAGUAGGGAAUUUUGCGCAAUGGACGAAAGUCUGACGCAGCAACGCCGCGUGAGGGAUGACGGCCUUCGGGUUGUAAACCUCUGUUGAGUGGGAAGAAAAGCUUUGUGGUUAAUAUCCACAGAGUCUGACGGUACCACUCGAGGAAGCCCCGGCUAACUACGUGCCAGCAGCCGCGGUAAUACGUAGGGGGCUAGCGUUGUUCGGAAUCACUGGGCGUAAAGGGAGUGUAGGCGGACCGGUAAGUUAGGAGUUAAAUGUACGGGCUCAACCCGUGAUCUGCUUUUAAUACUGUCGGUCUUGAGUAUGGGAGAGGGAGAUGGAAUUCCAGGUGUAGCGGUGGAAUGCGUAGAUAUCUGGAAGAACACCAGUUGCGAAGGCGGUCUCCUGGACCAAUACUGACGCUGAUGCUCGAAAGCUGGGGGAGCGAACAGGAUUAGAUACCCUGGUAGUCCCAGCCGUAAACGAUGGACACUAGUUGCCGGAGGAGUCAAUCCCUUCGGUGACGAAGCUAACGCAUUAAGUGUCCCGCCUGGGGAGUACGCUCGCAAGGGUGAAACUCAAAGGAAUUGACGGGGGCCCGCACAAGCGGUGGAGCAUGUGCUUUAAUUCGAUGCAACGCGAAGAACCUUACCUGGGUUUGACAUGGGGGUUGAAAGUUUCCAGAGAUGGAAGCCUUUCCUUUCGGGAACACCCCACACAGGUGCUGCAUGGUUGUCGUCAGCUCGUGUCGUGAGAUGUUGGGUUAAGUCCCGCAACGAGCGCAACCCCUGCCCUUUGUUGCCAUCAGGUAAAGCUGGGUACUCUAAGGGGACAGCUUGGUAUAACCAGGAGGAAGGUGGGGAUGAC
RNAcentral lists this ribosomal RNA (1162 nucleotides) under uncultured organism. Its description in RNAcentral is "bacterial SSU rRNA". It matches the Rfam family "Bacterial small subunit ribosomal RNA", at positions 54 to 1183 of the family's 1533-position model. The record is from RNAcentral.